CCUACGGGAGGCAGCAGUGGGGAAUAUUGGACAAUGGGGGGAACCNUGAUCCAGCCAUGCCGCGUGUGUGAAGAAGGCCUUUUGGUUGUAAAGCACUUUAAGCGAGGAGGAGGCUACCGAGAUUAAUACUCUUGGAUAGUGGACGUUACUCGCAGAAUAAGCACCGGCUAACUCUGUGCCAGCAGCCGCGGUAAUACAGAGGGUGCAAGCGUUAAUCGGAUUUACUGGGCGUAAAGCGCGCGUAGGUGGCCAAUUAAGUCAAAUGUGAAAUCCCCGAGCUUAACUUGGGAAUUGCAUUCGAUACUGGUUGGCUAGAGUAUGGGAGAGGAUGGUAGAAUUCCAGGUGUAGCGGUGAAAUGCGUAGAGAUCUGGAGGAAUACCGAUGGCGAAGGCAGCCAUCUGGCCUAAUACUGACACUGAGGUGCGAAAGCAUGGGGAGCAAACAGGAUUAGAUACCCUGGUAGUCCAUGCCGUAAACGAUGUCUACUAGCCGUUGGGGCCUUUGAGGCUUUAGUGGCGCAGCUAACGCGAUAAGUAGACCGCCUGGGGAGUACGGUCGCAAGACUAAAACUCAAAUGAAUUGACGGGG
RNAcentral lists this ribosomal RNA (589 nucleotides) under uncultured Acinetobacter sp. RNAcentral describes it as "bacterial SSU rRNA". It matches the Rfam family "Bacterial small subunit ribosomal RNA", at positions 338 to 918 of the family's 1533-position model. The record is from RNAcentral. Lineage: Bacteria; Pseudomonadati; Pseudomonadota; Gammaproteobacteria; Moraxellales; Moraxellaceae.